UUUUGCGUGCUCUUUUUUUUAUAUUGUCAAACUGCAGUAAGUUAUUUACUUCCACAGUCUAUAAAUAUGUAAGCAAAACACUGUACUGGUAAUGCUUAAAGUGUUGUCAGGUGGCAAUUGAAGCAAAAUAAACCCUUUUAAAUUAGCCGCGAAUUUAACUUCUCUCAUUCUGAAGGCCCGUAAGUUAAACAUGAUGGCGCAAGCAACCGCGAAGACUGAAGAUAUUAAUUCUGUAUAUUACUAAAGACUGAAGAUAAUACCGCCGCGAUGCAUUCUGUAUGUAAUUGGUUUUAUUCUACGUAGAGGACACUUUAUAAAUCUUCAGAGGAUGGGAGAGGCAUUCACAACCUGACGCAGUUUGACGGACGGAUGGGAGCUGUAGAAAAGGCCAGCUAUGUAUAGAGACAUUAAUGCCACCUUGUGACUUUAAGAGGUAUUGCGCUGAUGAAUCAGCAUUUCCCUUUAACAAUCCCUUUAACAGUAUUAACAGGAUGCAGUUCAGAGCACGGACAUUCUUCGCUAUAGUUCAAGCUGUUGUUGUUUUCUGCUGAGUGCGUUCAUAUACAAAACCACUCAUACUAAGCUACACUCCAAACUGGGUUGUACUACUCUGUCAUACUCACUGCUAUCUGUACUACGAUCAUUCACUCAACCAAAUUCAAAGACUGUAACCCUCUACAAGCUUCAAACCAUUAAAGUGUACUUCGUCUCUGACCGGACGACUUGUGUCUGCUAAAUUUCCACCAGCACCCACACUAGUCUACCUCACAAAUGGUCCUUCGAGCCGGAAUUGAAGAGCUGUCAUAAGAAUGAUGCAUCAGAGUGAUCCAGAUCCUAUACCUGACCUUCCUGAGCCCGCAGUCAGACCCAAACGAGUGGUGCGGCUCCCUAGUUACUUGUCAGAUUUCGAGCUCACUGAUCAUCAACAGAGGUUACAGUCUAGACAGAGAGUAGAUACUUCCUCAGGGACGAGUGAUGAUUCAGAAUUGCAAGGAGCGACUGCACCCAAGCUCACCGACACCUUCCCUGAGUGUGAAACAAGUAUGCAGCCAAGACAGCCGCUGAUAGAGUGGAGUCCCAGUAGAAAGUAUGAACAACAGCGAGCACAUACGUCACCCUUUCCUGAGCUGUCGUCAGAAGUUCUAGCAGAGUUCCAGCAGUUGCGGAAAGAGACUGAGGAACUGCAACGUCAUUCCUAUGAGCAGAUAAUGAGACUGAAGGAGAAGAAUGAGGCCCUGGAAACUCAGUUGAGCCUACUUGCAGUGAGUGAUCGGUCUAGUCAUCAUCCACAGAUUACAUCUUCCCCUGUUCCUCAGCCUCGGGUCACUACUUCUCCUACCACUACAGAUGCCAGGCCCAUCUCUCUGCCUAGAUCCAAGCUACCCCAGAGACCGACUGAAAGUGUAGCAGAGUCAUUGAGACAAGAUCGCCUGCAUGAUUUAGAACAGAGGCUAGGCAGCUGGAGAUGAUAUCACCGCCAACUCCUGCCCGACCCUCACAGCAUCAGUCCUUCCCCCAUAGAUCUUAUGACAGAGUUGAUGAUCGUAGAAGUGGCUACAGCUCGACCCAGUUACGUGUUCCUCUUUGUGAAGCCAGAUCCAAGAGAGUUCUCCCGUCUGCGCAUCGCUUUGGAGAACAUUCUGCCAGCAGACGCUACAGAGAGAUUUAAAUACCAGAUUCUCGUCGAUCACCUGAAGUUGGAGGAAGCCCUGUUGAUUGCAGACUCCUAUUGUAACUCAUUAUGCCCUUUCUCAGAUACUAUGGAGGCGCUUAACCAACAGUACGGACAGCCUCACCAGUUGGCCCUUCAGAGAAUAGCUGAACUUAUGGAUGGUCUGAACAUCAGACAAAGGGGAUGUGAGAGCUUUCCGGAUGUUUGCACUGAAAGUUCGCUCUCUAGUUAGUAUGCUUCAGCGACUGGGGAAUAAAGGUUACAUGGAGUUAGAGUGCGGUUCCCAUGUAUCAAGACUGUUGUGUAAGCUUCCACAUGAUCUGCAGACUAGUUUUAGACGGUCUGUCCAUCCCCAACGAGUUCCCAUCCCUACCUUGCUGGAUCUCUCAGCGUGGUUAGAAUUUGAGUUGCAAGUUCAAGAAGACAGUACCAGGUUCUAUCCUCCAAUGAGUAAGCCAAUGCCCAUAGACAAGAGGGGACAUCAGAGAGACACGAGACAGCCAACGAAGGCCACAAGUAUCUUCCUUGGUACAGAGAAACACAGCAGUGACAUACCAGGUAAAGCACCCGACCCUAAACCCAGAGACAGGAAGAUAUUCUGCCCAUAUUGUGAUGCUCAAGACCACUACUUGAAUGGGUGUGCCAGUUUCCAGAGUCUUAACAGAGAUCAGAAAGUGUAUUGGAUACAAUCACACAAGAGAUGUUGGCGUUGUGGAAGAGCCCAUCAAGCUGCACAGUGUAACCUCAAGACACCCUGCAAGAGUUGUAAUCGCUGCCACUUGUACAUCCUCCAUGACGUUAACUAUCGAUCCGUUGUGAAGACGCCUGAGACACCUAAGGUCGGACCUUCAGAGAGUUGCUUGGUGAACACGACUACAGAGACACUGUACCUAGAUCGGCCCACUGAUAGUCGGCGUGUCUUACUAAAGAUCUGCAAGGUACUCCUGAGAAAUGGCAGUCAGUGCUUUGGACGACGGAUCAGAACGCACCAUCCUCCUUCAUUCAGCGGCCCAGCAGCUCGGAUUGACUGGUCGACCCGAAGAGCUUGUUCUACGUACAGUUAGACAAGACCUUCACAUCCUGCAUGGUGCUUCAGUAACCUUCACAGUGUCACCAGCAUCCCAACCCAAGACUUCAUUCAGGAUUCGUCAAGCCUUUACAGCAGAGACACUGGGAUUAGCUGAGCAUACGUAUCCAGUAGAUGAGUUACAACGCAAGUAUAGCCAUCUGCAAGGUCUACAGUUGCCAUCUGUUGAAUCCGUCCAACCACUCCUCCUUAUAGGAUCAGAUUACCCUCACCUCAUUACCUCAGUAAAGCCAGUUCGUCUAGGCCCGCCUAACGGUCCUGCUGCCAUCAAGACCAGACUCGGUUGGACCCUGCAAGGUCCCACUCAAGAGAUCAAGCAUCGCUUUCCCAGCCAGCAGUGUCUCUUUACAGCUACUUCAAGCUCGUAUACCGACCUGUACAGACAAGUUGAGAAAUUUUGGCAACUAGACGUGCUCCCGUACCGCAGUGAGAAGCUCAUUACACGCUCAAAGCAAGAUCAAGAAGCCUUUUCACUGCUCGAAUCCAAGACUACUAGAGUUACAGUAGACGGAGUAGCCAGAUAUGCCACACCCUUAUUAUGAGUAAAAGAUAUGCCUCUCCUGCGAGCUUCCCCAGAUACCACUUUGCCUUUUCUGUGUGGAAUUGAGAGGCGAUUAGCCAGAGAUCCAGCACAAGCAGCAGCCUACCAGGUGGAGAUGAACAAGUUGAAGGAGGCAGGAUACGCACAAGUAAUACCUCCCGAACAAGUGGAUCAAACUGAGGAGUUGUGGUACAUUCCCCACCAUAUGACGCAACAUAACGGCAAGAACAGAGUUGUCUUCAACUGUUCAUUCCAACAUGGAGGGAAAAAUCUCAACAAGUUGCUUCUCCCUGGUCCCACGCUGAGUCCUUCUCUGAUGUCUGUCCUCCUGAGAUUCCGUGAACACACUGUUGCGUUGAGUAGUGAUAUUUGAGGCAUGUUCCAUCAGGUGCGACUGCUACCAGAGGACCGCCCACUACUAAGAUUCCUCUGGCGGGACCUCAACAUAGAUCAGUCUCCCCAAGUUUACGAGUGGCAAGUUCUCCCGUUUGGGACAACAUGCAGCCCUUGCUGCGCAACUUUUGCCCUCCAAAAGCAUGUCAUCGACCAUAGUCAGCCAGGCGAAGAUGUCCGAGAAAGUAUAGAGAAGUACUUCUAUGUGGACAACUUCCUCCAGAGUUUCUGUUCCCAAGAAGAAGCCAGGGCACCAGCAUGCAUCUUCGUCAGAACAAGAGUAGCAGAGAUACAGGAGUUAACAGACCCCCAGGAUUGGCGUUAUGUUGAUUCCAAGUCUAAUCCUGCUGAUAACAUCACUAGGGGCAAGACGUUGGCCGAGUUAUCCAAUGCAAGCAGAUGGCGUCUUGGCCCAUCAUUCUUUCACCUACCCACAGAUCAGUGGUCCUACAGCUACCAACUGAAGAUUCAGAGCUGAAACAGGUCACAUUCUGUGGACUUACAGUUCCUGUCAACAACCCAGCCUUGCCUGAUUGCAAUCAGUUUGGGUCUUAUAAGGAACUACUAGCAGCUACAGCUAGAGCCUUGCACGGGGUGGCUACCCCUACGGAAGUGCUAACAGCUGAGGAUUAUAGAGAAGCUGAACUAGCCCUCCUUCAUCAAGCACAAAUCCAAAGUUUCCCAGUCGAGAUGGCUCAUCUUAAGUCCGGUAAACCUCUACCAAUGAGUAGUCGUCUCUUGUGCCUUGCCCCAGAGUAUGACAUCAUUACCCACCUCAUCAGAGUUGGUGGUCGUCUCAGACGAACAGAGCAGCUAGACGAAUCCGCCAUUCACCCUAUAGUUCUUGACCCUAAGCAUCCCCUAAGCAGACUCAUGAUCCAGGACGUAGAUUAAAUUCUACACCAUCCAGGAGCAGAGAGGGUGUUUGCUGAAGUACGACGUAAGUACUGGAUAUUGAGAGGCCGACAAGCUAUUCGGCAGCACCAAAGAACCUGCUUAGGCUGUAAACAGUGGAGAGGCCAGCCCAGUAUUCCCAGGAUGGCCGACUUACCUCCUUCAAGACUGCGCUUACUUCAACCAGCCUUCUACUCCACUGGAGUGGACUGCUUCGGCCCUUACCUCAUCAAGAUUGGGCGCAGACAUGAGAAAAGAUGGGGUAUCAUAUUUAAGUGUCUGACAACGAGAGCUGUAUACCUGGACCUGCUCUAUCAGAUGGACACAGAUUCAUUCUAAAUGGCCCUCCGAAGAUUCAUCUCCCGCAGAGGCAAGCCAUUCGAGAUCAUCUCUGACCAAGGUACAAACUUCAGAGGUGGUGAGAGAACACUACAAGAAGAUUUCGCUGUGCUCCAUCCUUCCCUCCAGAAGCAAUUAGCCAGUCACCAGAUUAGCUUUAAGUUCAACCCCCCAGGCGCUUCGCACUUUGGAGGCUGUUGGGAAAGAGAGAUAAGAUCCCUGAAAUUAGUUCUCUGUUCUACUAUAGGGGAUCAAAUUGUGACAGAGGAAGUGCUGCGUACUGUGCUUGUUGAGAUUGAAGGCAUUCUCAAUUCAAAGCCAUUCGGCUAUACGUCCUCAGACGUAGCGGACCCUGACCCAGUCACUCCCAACAUGCUGCUCAUGGGGCGGCCUGACUCAUCCUUGCCGCAAGUAAUAUACCCUGAAUCAGAGAUGCUGAGCAAACGGAGAUGGAGACACAGUCAGCUUCUAGCAGACCAGUUCUGGAGACGUUUCCUCCGUAACUAUCUCCCAGAACUGCAAGUCCGGCAGAAGUGGCACAGAGAGGCAGAGAACAUACAGCCAGGCACAGUUGUCAUGAUUGUCGAUCAUCAAUUACCCCGAGCUCUAUGGCCAGUUGGACAAGUAACAAAAGUUCUUCCUGGAGAAGAUGGGAGAGCCCGGACUGCUGAAGUGGAAGUCAAGAAGAAGACCUAUCUUCGUCCCGUCACCCGGCUCAUCAGCCUCCCUGCUUUACCAGAUUGAGUACCCUUUAGUGCUACCCCCUUACUUGAUCCCUUACCGUAGUGCCUUUUCUGAAUUACACAUUUACACAGCAAAUGAGGGGGUGGCUGUAGAAAAGGCCAGCUAUGUAUAGAGACAUUAAUGCCACCUUGUGACUUUAAGAGGUAUUGCGCUGAUGAAUCAGCAUUUCCCUUUAACAAUCCCUUUAACAGUAUUAACAGGACGCAGUUCAGAGCACGGACAUUCUUCGCUAUAGUUCAAGUUGUUGUUGUUUUCUGCUGAGUGCGUUCAUAUACAAAACCACUCAUACUAAGCUACACUCCAAACUGGGUUGUACUACUCUGUCAUACUCACUGCUAUCUAUACUACGAUCAUUCACUCAACCAAAUUCAAAGACCGUAACCCUCUACAAGCUUCAAACCAUUAAAGUGUACUUCGUCUUGUGUCUGCUAAAUUUCCACCAGCACCCACACUAGUCUACCUCACAGGAGCUAAGCCAGAGGUGGUUCAAGAUGCUGUCUGAGUGUUCUCUCCAGCCGUGCGUCUACAGUGUGCCCCAGUCUGUCUGCUCCAGUGAUCAGCUCCUGAAGGCUGUUCCUCCACCUGUGUGAAGUGUGUGCUCUGGUCCGUAUUCAGGUUGUCCUGUCAAGACAAAGAUCUCCCGUCAACAUAUCAGCAGCAGUUACCUGGACAACUGAACAUCACACUUACCACCUUCAAGCCAUAUUG
Onychostoma macrolepis is the source of this 6378-nucleotide long non-coding RNA. RefSeq lists it as uncharacterized. NCBI's taxonomy places the organism in Eukaryota, Metazoa, Chordata, Actinopteri, Cypriniformes, Cyprinidae. The transcript is spliced from 5 exons. The record is from RefSeq and is a predicted model, not a curated record.